UCUGACGGAGCACGCCGCGUGAGUGAUGAAGGUUUUCGGAUCGUAAAGCUCUGUUGUUAGGGAAGAACAAGUGCAAGAGUAACUGCUUGCACCUUGACGGUACCUAACCAGAAAGCCACGGCUAACUACGUGCCAGCAGCCGCGGUAAUACGUAGGUGGCAAGCGUUGUCCGGAAUUAUUGGGCGUAAAGGGCUCGCAGGCGGUUUCUUAAGUCUGAUGUGAAAGCCCCCGGCUCAACCGGGGAGGGUCAUUGGAAACUGGGAAACUUGAGUGCAGAAGAGGAGAGUGGAAUUCCACGUGUAGCGGUGAAAUGCGUAGAGAUGUGGAGGAACACCAGUGGCGAAGGCGACUCUCUGGUCUGUAACUGACGCUGAGGAGCGAAAGCGUGGGGAGCGAACAGGAUUAGAUACCCUGGUAGUCCACGCCGUAAACGAUGAGUGCUAAGUGUUAGGGGGUUUCCGCCCCUUAGUGCUGCAGCUAACGCAUUAAGCACUCCGCCUGGGGAGUACGGUCGCAAGACUGAAACUCAAAGGAAUUGACGGGGGCCCGCACAAGCGGUGGAGCAUGUGGUUUAAUUCGAAGCAACGCGAAGAACCUUACCAGGUCUUGACAUCCUCUGACAACCCUAGAGAUAGGGCUUUCCCUUCGGGGACAGAGUGACAGGUGGUGCAUGGUUGUCGUCAGCUCGUGUCGUGAGAUGUUGGGUUAAGUCCCGCAACGAGCGCAACCCUUGAUCUUAGUUGCCAGCAUUCAGUUGGGCACUCUAAGGUGACUGCCGGUGACAAACCGGAGGAAGGUGGGGAUGACGUCAAAUCAUCAUGCCCCUUAUGACCUGGGCUACACACGUGCUACAAUGG
This 857-nucleotide ribosomal RNA is filed under the name Bacillus altitudinis. Its description in RNAcentral is "bacterial SSU rRNA". It matches the Rfam family "Bacterial small subunit ribosomal RNA", at positions 382 to 1233 of the family's 1533-position model. Lineage: Bacteria; Bacillati; Bacillota; Bacilli; Caryophanales; Bacillaceae. The record is from RNAcentral.